CCCAGUCAUCGAUGCGUUAGCUUGCCUUCCUCGUCGUACAUGGCCGCAAGCUCGAGCUUGGCGGUCCGAACUCCGCAUUACUUCGGGGACGUCGCUAUCUUCUUGACCUAUGUCGGGAGUCUUCUUAGAGGCCAGGGGUGUUUGGUAGGAACCCCCCAUCUUUGUUGGGACGAGGUUCUUUAGGUCUUUGGUGUGGUUCAUCCUUCAUCUGUUUCCGUCGUAGUUCGUCACCCUUCCUUUUUAAUUUUUCUCCUCUUCUCAGAGUGAGGGCCCUCCCCUCGCUUUUUGCGGGGUUGCAUAGGAGCGUGGAGGUGCCGCUGAGGGGCUUUUUCCCUUCAUCCGAUCUUGUUGGGCGGCCGGAUUUCGUCAUCACCAGGACGAGGUUCUCCUCCCGUU
This 396-nucleotide long non-coding RNA is filed under the name Elaeis guineensis (African oil palm). Its description in RNAcentral is "long non-coding RNA (EGUI_LNC075897)". Lineage: Eukaryota; Viridiplantae; Streptophyta; Magnoliopsida; Arecales; Arecaceae. The record is from RNAcentral.